AUUGAACGCUGGCGGCAGGCCUAACACAUGCAAGUCGAACGAGUGGCGGACGGGUGGGUCAUGUCUGGGCAACUGACUGAUGGAGGGGGAUCACAACUGGACACGGUAGCCAAUACCGCAUUCCAUCGCCUAUGCCCAGUUGGGAUUAGCUAGUAGGGGGGGUAAAGGCCCACCAAGGCGACGAUCCGUAGCUGGUCUGAGAGGAUGACCAGCCACACUGGAACUGAGACACGGUCCAGACUCCUACGGGAGGCAGCAGUGGGGAAUAUUGCACAAUGGGCGAAAGCCUGAUGCAGCCAUGCCGCGUGUAUGAAGAAGGCCUUCGGAUUGUAAAGUACUUUCAGCUGGGAGGCGUUACCCGCAGAAGAAGCACCGGCUAACUCCGUGCCAGCAGCCGCGGUAAUAC
Molecule: ribosomal RNA, 406 nt
Filed under: uncultured bacterium
Lineage: Bacteria
Description: partial 16S ribosomal RNA
Rfam family: Bacterial small subunit ribosomal RNA
Source: RNAcentral